This is a long non-coding RNA of Oncorhynchus masou masou (cherry salmon), 1082 nucleotides long. RefSeq lists it as uncharacterized. The transcript has 3 exons. The record is from RefSeq and is a predicted model, not a curated record. Lineage: Eukaryota; Metazoa; Chordata; Actinopteri; Salmoniformes; Salmonidae.
CCGGCCUACCGGAUGUUGAGUGAGGAGAAAAAAACAAUUGAAUCACGAAUACAAUAAGCUAACAUUUAAAAUUAUGGCACACACCACUGUAUCUGAACGUUGGCGGAAACAUACAUGUUAUGUGCAAUGCAUUAUUUAUAAAUAUUGAUAUUUUGUCGGGUUUGGACUACAAAACGGUAUGUUGACAUUAGCUAGCUAGCUUUCAUCAUGUCGACAGCUAUCUAACUGGUGAAUCGAGAACAAGUUUGCACUAACACAUUUUUGGCUUGUUCUUUUCACUUCGAUUAGAUCACUGGAUGUCAGACAGCCUCAAUGGGUUGUGGUGUCUACAACCUAUCAAUUUGAUUCAAGACAUGGAGGACACAAGGUGCAACAUUUAAACCCAACAGAACAACACUACAUCAGUGUGUACCUGGGGACAGUAGUGGGGGUUACCUGGCUAGUUUGUGGUGGAAGAGGAGACACGUGGUUUGAACAAAAGCUGGAUGAUCGUUCUUGCCUCCUGGGCUGUUAUUGGAGGAUCUACGUUGAACAUUUAUCUUUUCCUCAUCAGUCCCGCCAGAGAGCCUGUCUAAAAAUAAAGACAGUAAGUAUUAAAAUAGCAUAAUUUAGUCACUAAUGCAUGUUGGAAAUAGUAGCAUCUUGUUACUUGUAUCCCAGAGGCUAGAAAAACUCCAUCCUGAAUCUAGAUUUAAUGAGAAUUCACCUCUUCCCUAUGUUUGGUUUGAAAACACAGAGCAAGAGACUGACUGACAUGGGAAGUAAAAUUUUCUUCAGUAGAGGAGUCAAUGAUGAGGAAACGGUCAGCCUUAUCUGCUGCCCAUAGCAACCCUCCUAAACCCUUGCUUGCCCUGACUAACGAGAAACCGGUAACUGCUGAUACUGGCAAUGGAGACGCUACUGUUCUAAUGUGUCCCCCUUCAGGGUAUUUUCAUGUCUAGAACUGUGUAUCUGAUACAAUAUACCCAUAUAUUUGUGCGAUAUGUGCUGCGUUUGGCUGUUUCUAUAUUUGAUUAUGAAAACUAAGACCGGCGCAAAAGAGAAGUAUUAACGCGUUAUACCCUUUUUUUAAUAUAUAUGUU